UCAUUGAGACUUAAUAGGGAAUCCGGUGAAAGUCCGGAACGGUCCCGCCGCUGUAAUAGGGAGUUUUCCAUAGAAUUGUCAUUGGGGAAACCUGAGAAGGCAUGGAAAACGAGGAACUUCAGUCAGAAGAACUACCCUGGUUU
This 143-nucleotide non-coding RNA is filed under the name Dialister succinatiphilus. Lineage: Bacteria; Bacillati; Bacillota; Negativicutes; Veillonellales; Veillonellaceae. The record is from RNAcentral.